RNAcentral lists this ribosomal RNA (468 nucleotides) under uncultured bacterium. RNAcentral's name for it is "partial 16S ribosomal RNA". It matches the Rfam family "Bacterial small subunit ribosomal RNA", at positions 28 to 507 of the family's 1533-position model. The record is from RNAcentral.
GACGAACGCUGGCGGCGUGCUUAACACAUGCAAGUCGAACGGAAAGGCCCUGCUUUUGUGGGGUGCUCGAGUGGCGAACGGGUGAGUAACACGUGAGUAACCUGCCCUUGACUUUGGGAUAACUUCAGGAAACUGGGGCUAAUACCGGAUAGGAGCUCCUGCUGCAUGGUGGGGGUUGGAAAGUUUCGGCGGUUGGGGAUGGACUCGCGGCUUAUCAGCUUGUUGGUGGGGUAGUGGCUUACCAAGGCUUUGACGGGUAGCCGGCCUGAGAGGGUGACCGGCCACAUUGGGACUGAGAUACGGCCCGGACUCCUCCGGGAGGCAGCAGUGGGGAAUAUUGCACAAUGGGCGGAAGCCUGAUGCAGCAACGCCGCGUGCGGGAUGACGGCCUUCGGGUUGUAAACCGCUUUCGCCUGUGACGAAGCGUGAGUGACGGUAAUGGGUAAAGAAGCACCGGCUAACUACGUG